This 253-nucleotide ribosomal RNA is filed under the name uncultured bacterium. Its description in RNAcentral is "partial 16S ribosomal RNA". It matches the Rfam family "Bacterial small subunit ribosomal RNA", at positions 524 to 776 of the family's 1533-position model. The record is from RNAcentral.
UACGUAGGGACCAAGCGUUGUUCGGAUUUACUGGGCGUAAAGGGCGCGUAGGCGGCCCCACAAGUCACUUGUGAAAUCUCCGGGCUUAACUCGGAACGGCCAAGUGAAACUGUGGAGCUAGAGUGUGGAAGGGGCAAUCGGAAUUCUUGGUGUAGCGGUGAAAUGCGUAGAUAUCAAGAGGAACACCUGAGGUGAAGACGGGUUGCUGGGCUGACACUGACGCUGAGGCGCGAAAGCCAGGGGAGCAAACGGG